AUUGAACGCUGGCGGCAGGCCUAACACAUGCAAGUCGAGCGAGCGGCGGACGGGUGAGUUAUGUCUGGGUACCCGCCCGCUGGUGAGGGAUAACUCCUGGCAACGCUAGCUAAUAUCCCGCAUCAUCAGUUCUGUCCCGAUGGGAUUAGCUGGUGGGUGGGGUAACGGCUCACCUAGGCGACCAUCCCUAGCUGGGCUGAGAGGAGGACCAGCCACACUGGAACUGAGACACGGUCCAGACUCCGACGGGAGGCAGCAGUGGGGAAUAUUGCACAAUGGGCGAAAGCCUGAUGCAGCCAUGCCGCGUGUGUGAAGAAGGCCUUCGGGUUGUAAAGCACUUUCAGCGGGGAGGCGUUACCCGCAGAAGAAGCACCGGCUAACUCCGUGCCAGCAGCCGCGGUAAUUC
This 406-nucleotide ribosomal RNA is filed under the name uncultured bacterium. Its description in RNAcentral is "partial 16S ribosomal RNA". It matches the Rfam family "Bacterial small subunit ribosomal RNA", at positions 30 to 526 of the family's 1533-position model. The record is from RNAcentral.